Molecule: ribosomal RNA, 424 nt
Filed under: uncultured bacterium
Lineage: Bacteria
Description: partial 16S ribosomal RNA
Rfam family: Bacterial small subunit ribosomal RNA
Source: RNAcentral
GUGGGGAAUCUUAGACAAUGGGCGCAAGCCUGAUCUAGCCAUGCCGCGUGAGUGAUGAAGGCCCUAGGGUUGUAAAGCUCUUUCAGCUGGGAAGAUAAUGACGGUACCAGCAGAAGAAGCCCCGGCUAACUCCGUGCCAGCAGCCGCGGUAAUACGGAGGGGGCUAGCGUUGUUCGGAAUUACUGGGCGUAAAGCGCGCGUAGGCGGACUGAAAAGUUGGGGGUGAAAUCCCGGGGCUCAACCUCGGAACUGCCUUCAAAACUAUCAGUCUGGAGUUCGAGAGAGGUGGGUGGAAUUCCGAGUGUAGAGGUGAAAUUCGUAGAUAUUCGGAGGAACACCAGUGGCGAAGGCGGCUCACUGGCUCGAUACUGACGCUGAGGUGCGAAAGCGUGGGGAGCAAACAGGAUUAGAUACCCUUGUAGUC